AUUGAACGCUGGCGGCAGGCUCAACACAUGCAAGUCGAGCGGGGUGAUGGUGCUUGCACUAUCACUUAGCGGCGGACGGGUGAGUAAUGCUUAGGAAUCUGCCUAUUAGUGGGGGACAACAUCUCGAAAGGGAUGCUAAUACCGCAUACGUCCUACGGGAGAAAGCAGGGGAUCACUUGUGACCUUGCGCUAAUAGAUGAGCCUAAGUCGGAUUAGCUAGUUGGUGGGGUACAUGCCUACCAAGGCAACGAGCUGUAGCGGGUCUGCGAGGAUUCUCCGCCGCACUGGGCAUGAGACACGGCCCCGACUCCUACGGGAGGCAUCAGUGGAGAAUAUUGGACAAUGGGGGAACCCUGAUCCAGCCAUGCCGCGUGUGUGAAGAAGGCCUUAUGGUUGUAAAGCACUUUAAGCGAGGAGGAGGCUCUUUUGGUUAAUACCCAAGAUGAGUGGACGUUACUCGCAGAAUAAGCACCGGCUAACUCUGUGCCAGCCGCCGCAGUAA
Molecule: ribosomal RNA, 502 nt
Filed under: uncultured bacterium
Lineage: Bacteria
Description: partial 16S ribosomal RNA
Rfam family: Bacterial small subunit ribosomal RNA
Source: RNAcentral